GACGAACGCUGGCGGCGUGCUUAACACAUGCAAGUCGAACGGUGAACGAGGGAGCUUGCUCCCUCCGGAUCAGUGGCGAACGGGUGAGUAACACGUGAGCAAUCUGCCCCGAACUCUGGGAUAAGCGUUGGAAACGACGUCUAAUACCGGAUACGACGCGGGAGGGCAUCCUCUCCGCGUGGAAAGAACUUCGGUUCGGGAUGAGCUCGCGGCCUAUCAGCUUGUUGGUGAGGUAACGGCUCACCAAGGCGACGACGGGUAGCCGGCCUGAGAGGGUGACCGGCCACACUGGGACUGAGACACGGCCCAGACUCCUACGGGAGGCAGCAGUGGGGAAUAUUGCACAAUGGGCGCAAGCCUGAUGCAGCAACGCCGCGUGAGGGACGACGGCCUUCGGGUUGUAAACCUCUUUUAGCAGGGAAGAAGCGAAAGUAACGGUACCUGCAGAAAAAGCACCGGCUAACUACGUG
This 470-nucleotide ribosomal RNA is filed under the name uncultured bacterium. RNAcentral's name for it is "partial 16S ribosomal RNA". It matches the Rfam family "Bacterial small subunit ribosomal RNA", at positions 28 to 507 of the family's 1533-position model. The record is from RNAcentral.